RNAcentral lists this ribosomal RNA (497 nucleotides) under uncultured bacterium. RNAcentral describes it as "partial 16S ribosomal RNA". It matches the Rfam family "Bacterial small subunit ribosomal RNA", at positions 28 to 507 of the family's 1533-position model. The record is from RNAcentral.
GACGAACGCUGGCGGCGCGCCUAAUACAUGCAAGUUGAGCGAUGAAGAUUGGUGCUUGCACCAAUUUGAAGAGCAGCGAACGGGUGAGUAACGCGUGGGGAAUCUGCCUUUGAGCGGGGGACAACAUUUGGAAACGAAUGCUAAUACCGCAUAAUAACUUUAAACAUAAGUUUUAAGUUUGAAAGAUGCAAUUGCAUCACUCAAAGAUGAUCCCGCGUUGUAUUAGCUAGUUGGUGAGGUAAAGGCUCACCAAGGCGAUGAUACAUAGCCGACCUGAGAGGGUGAUCGGCCACAUUGGGACUGAGACACGGCCCAAACUCCUACGGGAGGCAGCAGUAGGGAAUCUUCGGCAAUAGACGAAAGUCUGACCGAGCAACGCCGCGUGAGUGAAGAAGGUUUUCGGAUCGUAAAACUCUGUUGGUAGAGAAGAACGUUGGUGAGAGUGGAAAGCUCAUCAAGUGACGGUAACUACCCAGAGAGGGACGGCUAACUACGUG